UUAAGUUCAGCGGGUAUUCCUACCUGAUCCGAGGUCAACUCUAGGAGUUGGGCGUUUCACGGCGUGACCGUCUCCGCGCUCCGGUGCGAGGUUGUGCUACUACGCAGGGGAGGCUGCGGCAAGGUCGCCACUGCAUUUCGGGGGCGGCGCGCGGCCGGCCCCCAACACCAGGCCCCGGGGGGCUUGAGGGUUGAAAUGAC
RNAcentral lists this unclassified non-coding RNA (200 nucleotides) under Hypocreales sp. RNAcentral describes it as "partial internal transcribed spacer 2". Lineage: Eukaryota; Fungi; Ascomycota; Sordariomycetes; Hypocreales. The record is from RNAcentral.